This 204-nucleotide ribosomal RNA is filed under the name uncultured bacterium. RNAcentral's name for it is "partial 16S ribosomal RNA". It matches the Rfam family "Bacterial small subunit ribosomal RNA", at positions 570 to 774 of the family's 1533-position model. The record is from RNAcentral.
CGUAGGCGGCCUGCUAAGUCACACGUGAAACCCCUCGGCUCAACCGGGGAACUGCGUGUGAUACUGGCGGGCUUGAAUUCGGGAGAGGGAUGUGGAAUUCCAGGUGUAGCGGUGAAAUGCGUAGAUAUCUGGAGGAACACCGGUGGCGAAGGCGGCAUCCUGGACCGAGAUUGACGCUGAGGCGCGAAAGCUAGGGAGCAAACG